UGUGUAAAAGUUGGCUGGUUUCAGAAUUUUUGAUCAUUUGAUGUUCGAACUGUGAUUUUUGGUAAUCUGAUUUUAAUGUGGUUCUGCUGGUUCUUAGCCUGAAGGUAAAACAAUUAAGAAACGUGUCAAAAAAUACAGACUGGAGGAACUAAAAAGAGAACUGGAGGCUUUGGGAGUGAACAUUGAUGAGGACGUGGAUGAGACUAAAAAGAAAAACAGAAAAAAGACCAAAAAGGAACUGCAAAACCUCCUAAUAAAGGAGCUGAAACAGCUCAGCAAUGGCAAAACUGGGCUGGACAACAGGGCUUAUGAAGAGGUAUUCACUAUGUCCAUGGAGAUCCCUGAAGAUGUCAUAUCUGUUCUGAAUGAUCUGGACACAUUCUUGGACAAACAGUCUCCUGGAUAAAGUGGACUCAACUUUGGCUUCAGAAGGACUUAACGAAAAGGGAGAAAAGGAGAGAGUGCUGAGGCCAGACGCUGGAGACAGGAAGGAGGAGGCCGAGCGGGCAGCCCGAUUCUGGAGUGCCACAGAGAACCACAAAGGCUCCGUUCCCAGGAGGUUUCAGGUGGCAAGACGCAGCAGCAGACGGCUGACCGUGUGAACGAUUACAAGAACCAUCAAUAAAACCAAUACCAGAAGUUAUACUUCUGGUGAUCUUCA
Alosa sapidissima (American shad) is the source of this 661-nucleotide long non-coding RNA. RefSeq lists it as uncharacterized. The record is from RefSeq and is a predicted model, not a curated record. The transcript has 2 exons. NCBI's taxonomy places the organism in Eukaryota, Metazoa, Chordata, Actinopteri, Clupeiformes, Clupeidae.